Pelobates cultripes (western spadefoot toad) is the source of this 175-nucleotide non-coding RNA. NCBI's taxonomy places the organism in Eukaryota, Metazoa, Chordata, Amphibia, Anura, Pelobatidae. The record is from the annotation of a GenBank genome assembly.
AAAUAAACGUAUGGAUAAAAUACACUCACAUACGAAGAGCCAAUUACAAGCUGGCUCACACUGCACGCCUGGAAAUAAAAUAAUCCCAGUCCUGAGGAUUAUUUUAUUUCCAGGCGUGCAGUGUGAGCCAGCUUGUAAUUGGCUCUUCGUAUGUGAGUGUAUUUUAUCCAUACGU